Molecule: RNA transcript, 2869 nt
Organism: Zalophus californianus (California sea lion)
Lineage: Eukaryota; Metazoa; Chordata; Mammalia; Carnivora; Otariidae
Gene: LOXL1
Gene name: lysyl oxidase like 1
Exons: 6
Source: RefSeq, a predicted model, not a curated record
GCCAGCCCAGCGGCCAGCCAGUACCGGGCUGGCCAUGUAAGGCCCCCAGGCAGUCCUGCCUGUCCGGUGCCCUGCAGAGAGCCUCUUGCAGCCCUGGGCACCGCCCCUGCCCUGCCCUGACCCCUUGGCCUCGAAAUGCUGUCAUCGGAGGAGCAGUCCCGCUCGGGACAAGGCCAGCAUGGACAAAGCUAGAGCUGGGGCAGGCAAGGAGCCGUCCUGUCCUCGAGGCCGUGGGAAGAGAAGCACGCACAGGAGUACACUCCUGAGAGCCUCUCGGUGCACCAGGCCUCUGCAGAGGGGCCACCAUGGCUCUAGCCCGAGCUGGCUGGCAGCUGGGGGCCCUGGUGUGGGGCGCCUGCCUCUGCGUCCUGGUGCACGGGCAGGAGGCGCGGCCGGGGCAAGGCUCGGACCCGGGGCGCUGGCGGCAGCUGAUUCAGUGGGAGAACAACGGGCAGGUGUACAGCCUGCUCAACUCGGGCUCAGAGUACGUGCCGGCCGGGCCGCAGCGCACCGACAGUAGCUCCCGGGUGCUGCUGGCCAGCGCUCCCCAGGCCCCGCGGCGGCGCAGCCCAGGAGGCCUCCGGCGUCGGCAGGCCCCGUCGCUGCCCCUGCCCGGGCGCGUCGGCUCGGACACCGUGCGUGGCCAGGCGCGGCACCCGUUCGGCUUCGGCCAGGUGCCCGACAACUGGCGCGAGGUGGCCGUCGGGGACAGCACAGGCAUGGCCCGGGUCCGCACCUCCGUCUCCCAGCAACGACACGGGGGCUCCGCCUCCUCGGUCUCGGCCUCGGCCUUCGCCACCACCUACCGCCAGCCGCCCUCCUUCCCGCAGCAGUUCCCCUACCCUCAGGCGCCCUUUGUCAGCCAGUACGAGACCUACGACCCCGCGUCGCGGACCUACGACCAGGGCUACGUGUACUACCGCGGCGGCGGCGGUGGCGCGGGGGCGGCGGCCGUGGCCUCGGCCGGGGUCGUCUACCCCUUCCAGCCGCGGGCGCGCUACGAGGAGUACGGCGGCGGCGAGGAGCAGCCCGAGUACCCGCCGCAGACCUUCUACCCGGCCCCGGAGAGGCCCUACGCGCCGCCGCCGCCGCCGCAGCCCGCCGACGGCCUGGACCGCCGCUACUCGCACAGCCUGUACCACGAGGGCACCGCCGGCUUCGAGCAGGCCUACCCGGAGCCGGGCCCCGACGCGCCGCCCGCCAGCGGCGGCACCUACGCCGCCGACCCCCGCCUCGGCUGGUACCCGCCCUACGCCAACGUGCCGCCCGAGGCCUACGUCCCGCCGCGGGCCGUGGAGCCGCAGCCCCCCUUCCGCGUGCUGGAGCCGCCCUACCUGCCCGUGCGCAGCUCCGACGCGCCCCCGCCAGGUGGGGAGCGCAGCGGCGCGCAGCAGGGCCGCCUCAGCGUGGGCAGCGUGUACCGGCCCAACCAGAAUGGCCGCGGUCUGCCUGACUUGGUCCCGGACCCCAACUACGUGCAAGCCUCCACUUACGUGCAGAGAGCCCAUCUGUACUCCCUGCGCUGUGCUGCGGAGGAGAAGUGUCUGGCCAGCACAGCCUACACCCCCGAGGCCACCGACUACGAUGUGCGGGUGCUGCUACGCUUUCCCCAGCGCGUGAAGAACCAGGGCACCGCGGACUUCCUCCCGAACCGGCCACGGCACACGUGGGAGUGGCACAGCUGCCACCAACAUUACCACAGCAUGGAUGAGUUCAGCCACUAUGACCUGCUGGAUGCAGCCACAGGCAAGAAGGUGGCUGAGGGCCACAAGGCCAGCUUCUGCCUGGAGGACAGCACCUGUGACUUCGGCAACCUCAAGCGCUACGCGUGCACCUCUCACACACAGGUCCGGCCGGGUGAGAGGGCCAGGGCGGGGACCCAGGAGUGCGGGCUCCUGGCUGCUCCACUCAGUGGGGGCACGGGUCUUCUCACCGGUCUGCAGGCCACCACGGGGUCCCUUCCUGCGCCACUCCCAGGCUUGUCUGCCCCUAGAAAGAAAGGAACAUUCCAACAAAGUCUAGAUGGCAUGGCGUCCCUUUGCCUGUUGGUCCACCCAAAUCCACCUUCCUGUCAGUCUGUCCAGGCACCUGUAGAGUGUCUGUCUAUCCUGCCUGUCUGUCUCUUCAUCUGUUCCUCCAUCCAGCUCUCCAGGCAUCUCCCUCCUUCAGUCCCUCCCACCUGGCUGUUACGCCUGCCUAUUUUCUGUCUGGUCCAUCCACCCAGCGGGCUCUAGAAGGGAGGAAGGAGGGGCCCAGACUGCUGGAGUGGCACCGGGCGGCUCUGAGGAGCGCCCAGCACCCCAGCCUUUGCUUCUGUCCCUUUUCCCAGGGCCUGAGCCCCGGCUGCUAUGACACUUACAACGCGGACAUCGACUGCCAGUGGAUUGACAUAACCGAUGUGCAGCCCGGGAACUACAUCCUCAAGGUCCAUGUGAACCCAAAGUACAUUGUGUUGGAGUCGGACUUCACCAACAACGUGGUGAGAUGCAACAUCCACUACACAGGUCGCUAUGUUUCUACAACAAACUGCAAGAUUGUCCAAUCCUGAUCUCGCAGAGGAUGGACAGGCGGCCAAUCUCCCCACGUCCCAAAGCCGGCCAGGCUCCCCAGGAAGCCUCCUGCCAGGACUGACCUGGCCCCCCCACCCCCACCCCACAGGCAGGGGCAGCUGGAGGCCACAGGCAUCCCUCCCUGCCGGCCUCAGGGAGCAAACGCAGACUGAAACCACAGGGAUUCCGGAUGCCAGGCCCAAUUUUGUACUUAACUCUUCUCGACAAUGGUAUUUUGUCGGUUGUUGGUUUUUAUUUUUUAUAUUUUGGCCAUAUCACAGAGCAAGAUUGCCCAGGCCUGGGCUGAAUAAAACAAGGUU